AGAGUUUGAUCAUGGCUCAGAUUGAACGCUGGCGGCAGGCCUAACACAUGCAAGUCGAGCGGUAGCACAGAGAGCUUGCUCUCGGGUGACGAGCGGCGGACGGGUGAGUAAUGUCUGGGAAACUGCCUGAUGGAGGGGGAUAACUACUGGAAACGGUAGCUAAUACCGCAUAACGUCGCAAGACCAAAGUGGGGGACCUUCGGGCCUCAUGCCAUCAGAUGUGCCCAGAUGGGAUUAGCUAGUAGGUGGGGUAACGGCUCACCUAGGCGACGAUCCCUAGCUGGUCUGAGAGGAUGACCAGCCACACUGGAACUGAGACACGGUCCAGACUCCUACGGGAGGCAGCAGUGGGGAAUAUUGCACAAUGGGCGCAAGCCUGAUGCAGCCAUGCCGCGUGUGUGAAGAAGGCCUUCGGGUUGUAAAGCACUUUCAGCGGGGAGGAAGGCGUUAAGGUUAAUAACCUUGGCGAUUGACGUUACCCGCAGAAGAAGCACCGGCUAACUCCGUGCCAGCAGCCGCGGUAAUACGGAGGGUGCAAGCGUUAAUCGGAAUUACUGGGCGUAAAGCGCACGCAGGCGGUCUGUCAAGUCGGAUGUGAAAUCCCCGGGCUCAACCUGGGAACUGCAUUCGAAACUGGCAGGCUAGAGUCUUGUAGAGGGGGGUAGAAUUCCAGGUGUAGCGGUGAAAUGCGUAGAGAUCUGGAGGAAUACCGGUGGCGAAGGCGGCCCCCUGGACAAAGACUGACGCUCAGGUGC
RNAcentral lists this ribosomal RNA (755 nucleotides) under uncultured bacterium. RNAcentral describes it as "bacterial SSU rRNA". It matches the Rfam family "Bacterial small subunit ribosomal RNA", at positions 8 to 754 of the family's 1533-position model. The record is from RNAcentral.